CAGUCGCCACGGUAAAACGUAGGGUGCAAGCGUUAUCCGGAAUUAUUGGGCGUAAAGAGCUCGUAGGCGGUUUGUCGCGUCUGUCGUGAAAGUCCGGGGCUCAACUCCGGAUCUGCGGUGGGUACGGGCAGACUAGAGUGAUGUAGGGGAGACUGGAAUUCCUGGUGUAGCGGUGGAAUGCGCAGAUAUCAGGAGGAACACCGAUGGCGAAGGCAGGUCUCUGGGCAUUAACUGACGCUGAGGAGCGAAAGCAUGGGGAGCGAACAGGAUUAGAUACCCCCGUAGUCCCUGUCUCUUUACC
RNAcentral lists this ribosomal RNA (301 nucleotides) under uncultured bacterium. RNAcentral describes it as "partial 16S ribosomal RNA". It matches the Rfam family "Bacterial small subunit ribosomal RNA", at positions 509 to 808 of the family's 1533-position model. The record is from RNAcentral.